ACAUCUGCCCUGCUGCAGGACCGUGUGGUGGGACUCUGAUCCAGCGGGAGAGCUCCUCGCAAGCCUCUUUCCUAGGUGGGAGCCAAAAUGCUGGAAGCAGCUGUGUUCGGAGCUUACUUCAAUGUCAUGAUCAACCUCAAAGACAUAACGGAUGAGGAGUUCAGGCUUGCAAUGUCACAGAAGGUCUCUGGGCUCCUGGAGGAGGCAAAGCAAGGCUCGGCGCUCGUGCUGGUGCUGCUGGAGAAGCGGGUGGCCUGAGAGGAGCUCUGCAGUGGCAAAUACAGCUGGGAAACAUGA
Molecule: long non-coding RNA, 297 nt
Organism: Pezoporus flaviventris
Lineage: Eukaryota; Metazoa; Chordata; Aves; Psittaciformes; Psittacidae
Exons: 2
Source: RefSeq, a predicted model, not a curated record